This 283-nucleotide unclassified non-coding RNA is filed under the name plant metagenome. Its description in RNAcentral is "partial contains small subunit ribosomal RNA, internal transcribed spacer 1, and 5.8S ribosomal RNA". The stretch from base 235 to 283 matches the Rfam family "5.8S ribosomal RNA", at positions 1 to 49 of the family's 154-position model. The record is from RNAcentral.
UUUCCGUAGGUGAACCUGCGGAAGGAUCAUUAUUGUAUAACCGAGGUGCGAGGGCUGUCGCUGACCCGAAAGGUCGUGCACGCCCGAGUGCCCUCACACGCAUCCAUCUCACCCCUAUGUGCACCACCGCGUGGGUCCCCCUUUGGCUUGUUCGGAGGGGGGCUUACGUUUUCACACAAACUUUGUAUGCAGUGUAGAAUGUAUUUUUUGUUUUUGCGAUCUCGCAAUCAAUACAACUUUCAACAACGGAUCUCUUGGCUCUCGCACCGAUGAAGAACGCAGC